RNAcentral lists this ribosomal RNA (612 nucleotides) under Myriochila parasemicincta. RNAcentral's name for it is "partial 16S ribosomal RNA". It matches the Rfam family "Bacterial large subunit ribosomal RNA", at positions 1844 to 2739 of the family's 2925-position model. Lineage: Eukaryota; Metazoa; Arthropoda; Insecta; Coleoptera; Carabidae. The record is from RNAcentral.
UUUAAGGUCUGACCUGCCCAAUGAGGGUUUAAAUGGCCGCAGUAUUUUGACUGUGCAAAGGUAGCAUAAUUAUUAGUUUUUUAAUUGAAAGCUUGUAUGAAGGGUUGGACGAGAUAAAGUCUGUCUCUAUUUAGAUUAAAAUAGAAUUUAACUUUUAAGUCAAAAGGCUUAAAUAUUUAUAAAAGACGAGAAGACCCUAUAGAUCUUUAUUUGGAUUGAAUUUUGAUAAUUUAGGAUUAUUUUAGUUUAAAUUUCAAACUAAAUUUUAUUGGGGUAAUAUAAAGAUUAAAUAAAUUCUUUUUAUUAAUAACAUUAAUUUAUGAGUUUGUGAUCCAUUAUUAGUGAUUAUAAGAUUAAGUUACCUUAGGGAUAACAGCGUAAUUUUUUUGGAGAGUUCAUAUCGAUAAAAAAGUUUGCGACCUCGAUGUUGGAUUAAAAAUUAGCUUGGGUGUAGAAGCUUGAGAUUUUGGUCUGUUCGACCAUUAAAUUUUUACAUGAUCUGAGUUCAGACCGGCGUAAGCCAGGUCGGUUUCUAUCUUUAUUUGAUUUAAAUAUUUUAGUACGAAAGGACCAAAUAUUUAAUAUAGUUAUAUUUAUUUUUUGAAUAAUAAU